Molecule: ribosomal RNA, 569 nt
Filed under: Lactococcus cremoris
Lineage: Bacteria; Bacillati; Bacillota; Bacilli; Lactobacillales; Streptococcaceae
Description: bacterial SSU rRNA
Rfam family: Bacterial small subunit ribosomal RNA
Source: RNAcentral
AAGAUUGGUGCUUGCACCAAUUUGAAGAGCAGCGAACGGGUGAGUAACGGGUGGGGAAUCUCCUUUUGCGCGGGGGACAACAUUCGGAAACGAAUGUUAAUACCGCAUAAUAAUUUUAAACACAAGUUUUAAGUUUGAAAGAUGCAAUUGCAUCACUCAAAGAUGAUCCCGCGUUGUAUUAGCUAGUUGGUGAGGUAAAGGCUCACCAAGGCGAUGAUACAUAGCCGACUUGAGAGGGUGAUCGGCCACAUUGGGACUGAGACACGGCCCAAACUCCUACGGGAGGCAGCAGUAGGGAAUCUUCGGCAAUGGACGAAAGUCUGACCGAGCAACGCCGCGUGAGUGAAGAAGGUUUUCGGAUCGUAAAACUCUGUUGGUAGAGAAGAACGUUGGUGAGAGUGGAAAGCUCAUCAAGUGACGGUAACUACCCAGAAAGGGACGGCUAACUACGUGCCAGCAGCCGCGGUAAUACGUAGGUCCCGAGCGUUGUCCGGAUUUAUUGGGCGUAAAGCGAGCGCAGGUGGUUUAUUAAGUCUGGUGUAAAAGGCAGUGGCUCAACCAUGUAUGCA